GGGAGACCUUGGGAAAGGUGGUCGCCGUGGCCUUUGUUAGAGGGAGACCCUCUUAUAGAGCGCUGGCUGUGGCCUCAAUGUUGAAGGCGAGUGGGUGUCUUGUCUUGCGUGGAGACCAGGGACAACCUGAAAGCCCAGUUCCCAAAGAAGACUUUUAAGUUGGCCUAGAGUUUCCAGGGUGCUCUCUGUCCAGAUUAUUCAUCACUGGAAAGGUGCAGAUCUCAAGUCCCACUUGGCAGUCUCAGAUCCAGGUCCCAUCUCCGUGAGACUGUUGCCAGUUGGUGCUCGUGGCCAUAAUGUUGAAGGCUUCCUCCAGAACUGGACACGUGGAGAACCCUAGCCCACCAUGGCACCCCCAGUUCCAGGACAUACGCACAUCUGGGAGACCAUGGGCAAUGUGGUAGCUGCAGCCUUUGUGUUGAAGGUCUAUUUUUAAGAGAAGAUUUUUUUUGGCCUAGAGUUCCCAGGGUGCUCUUACUGUCUCUGGGACAUAUAAAGGGAAGCAUC
Molecule: long non-coding RNA, 507 nt
Organism: Artibeus jamaicensis (Jamaican fruit-eating bat)
Lineage: Eukaryota; Metazoa; Chordata; Mammalia; Chiroptera; Phyllostomidae
Exons: 7
Source: RefSeq, a predicted model, not a curated record